UCGUGUCGUGAGAUGUUGGUUAAGUCCCGCAACGAGCGCAACCCUUGUCAUUAGUUGCUACGAAAGGGCACUCUAAUGAGACUGCCGGUGACAAACCGGAGGAAGUGGGAUGACGUCAAGUCCUCAUGGCCCUUAUGGGUAGGGCUUCACACGUCAUACAAUGGUCGGGACAGAGGGUCGCCAACCCGCGAGGGGGGAGCCAAUCCCAGAAACCCGAUCGUAGUCCGGAUUGUAGUCUGCAACUCGACUACAUGAAGUCGGAAUCGCUAGUAAUCGCGGAUCAGCAUGUCGCGGUGAAUACGUUCCCGGGUCUU
RNAcentral lists this ribosomal RNA (314 nucleotides) under uncultured Alcaligenaceae bacterium. RNAcentral's name for it is "bacterial SSU rRNA". It matches the Rfam family "Bacterial small subunit ribosomal RNA", at positions 1060 to 1382 of the family's 1533-position model. Lineage: Bacteria; Pseudomonadati; Pseudomonadota; Betaproteobacteria; Burkholderiales; Alcaligenaceae. The record is from RNAcentral.